Molecule: ribosomal RNA, 498 nt
Filed under: uncultured bacterium
Lineage: Bacteria
Description: partial 16S ribosomal RNA
Rfam family: Bacterial small subunit ribosomal RNA
Source: RNAcentral
AUUGAACGCUGGCGGCAUGCCUUACACAUGCAAGUCGAACGGUAACAGGUCUUCGGAUGCUGACGAGUGGCGAACGGGUGAGUAAUACAUCGGAACGUGCCUAGUAGUGGGGGAUAACUACUCGAAAGAGUGGCUAAUACCGCAUGAGAUCUACGGAUGAAAGCAGGGGAUCGCAAGACCUGGCGCUACUAGAGGGGCCAAUGUCAGAUUAGGUAGUUGGUGGGAUAAAAGCUUACCAAGCCGACGAUCUGUAGCUGGUCUGAGAGGACGAUCAGCCACACUGGGACUGAGAAACGGCCCAGACUCCUACGGGAGGCAGCAGUGGGGAAUUUUGGACAAUGGGCGCAAGCCUGAUCCAGCAAUGCCGCGUGCAGGAUGAAGGCCUUCGGGUUGUAAACUGCUUUUGUACGGAACGAAAAGCCCCGGGUUAAUACCCUGGGGUCAUGACGGUACCGUAAGAAUAAGCACCGGCUAACUACGUGCCAGCCGCCGCAGUAA